GGGUUGUGAGGUUAAGCGACUAAGCGUACACGGUGGAUGCCCUGGCAGUCAGAGGCGAUGAAGGACGUGCUAAUCUGCGAAAAGCGUCGGUAAGGUGAUAUGAACCGUUAUAACCGGCGAUGUCCGAAUGGGGAAACCCAGUGCAAUUCGUUGCACUAUCGUUAACUGAAUACAUAGGUUAACGAGGCGAACCGGGGGAACUGAAACAUCUAAGUACCCCGAGGAAAAGAAAUCAACCGAGAUUCCCCCAGUAGCGGCGAGCGAACGGGGAGCAGCCCAGAGUCUGAAUCAGCUUGUGUGUUAGUGGAACGGUCUGGAAAGUCCGACGGUACAGGGUGAUAGUCCCGUACACCAAAAUGCACAGGUUGUGAACUCGAAGAGUAGGGCGGGACACGUGGUAUCCUGUCUGAAUAUGGGGGGACCAUCCUCCAAGGCUAAAUACUCCUGACUGACCGAUAGUGAACCAGUACCGUGAGGGAAAGGCGAAAAGAACCCCGGCGAGGGGAGUGAAAAAGAACCUGAAACCGUGUACGUACAAGCAGUGGGAGCACCUUCGGGUGUGACUGCGUACCUUUUGUAUAAUGGGUCAGCGACUUAUAUUCUGUAGCAAGGUUAACCGUAUAGGGGAGCCGCAGGGAAACCGAGUCUUAACUGGGCGUUAAGUUGCAGGGUAUAGACCCGAAACCCGGUGAUCUAGCCAUGGGCAGGUUGAAGGUUGGGUAACACUAACUGGAGGACCGAACCGACUAAUGUUGAAAAAUUAGCGGAUGACUUGUGGCUGGGGGUGAAAGGCCAAUCAAACCGGGAGAUAGCUGGUUCUCCCCGAAAGCUAUUUAGGUAGCGCCUCGUGAACUCAUCUUCGGGGGUAGAGCACUGUUUCGGCUAGGGGGUCAUCCCGACUUACCAACCCGAUGCAAACUACGAAUACCGAAGAAUGUUAUCACGGGAGACACACGGCGGGUGCUAACGUCCGUCGUGAAGAGGGAAACAACCCAGACCGCCAGCUAAGGUCCCAAAGUCAUGGUUAAGUGGGAAACGAUGUGGGAAGGCACAGACAGCCAGGAUGUUGGCUUAGAAGCAGCCAUCAUUUAAAGAAAGCGUAAUAGCUCACUGGUCGAGUCGGCCUGCGCGGAAGAUGUAACGGGGCUAAACCAUGCACCGAAGCUGCGGCAGCGACACUAUGUGUUGUUGGGUAGGGGAGCGUUCUGUAAGCCUGCGAAGGUGACCUGUGAGGGUUGCUGGAGGUAUCAGAAGUGCGAAUGCUGACAUAAGUAACGAUAAAGCGGGUGAAAAGCCCGCUCGCCGGAAGACCAAGGGUUCCUGUCCAACGUUAAUCGGGGCAGGGUGAGUCGACCCCUAAGGCGAGGCCGAAAGGCGUAGUCGAUGGGAAACAGGUUAAUAUUCCUGUACUUGGUGUUACUGCGAAGGGGGGACGGAGAAGGCUAUGUUAGCCGGGCGACGGUUGUCCCGGUUUAAGCAUGUAGGCUGGUUAUCCAGGCAAAUCCGGAUAAUCAAGGCUGAGGUGUGAUGACGAGGCACUACGGUGCUGAAGUAACAAAUGCCCUGCUUCCAGGAAAAGCCUCUAAGCAUCAGGUAACAUCAAAUCGUACCCCAAACCGACACAGGUGGUCAGGUAGAGAAUACCAAGGCGCUUGAGAGAACUCGGGUGAAGGAACUAGGCAAAAUGGUGCCGUAACUUCGGGAGAAGGCACGCUGGUGUGUAGGUGAAGUCCCUGCGGAUGGAGCUGAGACCAGUCGAAGAUACCAGCUGGCUGCAACUGUUUAUUAAAAACACAGCACUGUGCAAACACGAAAGUGGACGUAUACGGUGUGACGCCUGCCCGGUGCCGGAAGGUUAAUUGAUGGGGUUAUCCGUAAGGAGAAGCUCUUGAUCGAAGCCCCGGUAAACGGCGGCCGUAACUAUAACGGUCCUAAGGUAGCGAAAUUCCUUGUCGGGUAAGUUCCGACCUGCACGAAUGGCGUAAUGAUGGCCAGGCUGUCUCCACCCGAGACUCAGUGAAAUUGAACUCGCUGUGAAGAUGCAGUGUACCCGCGGCAAGACGGAAAGACCCCGUGAACCUUUACUAUAGCUUGACACUGAACAUUGAGCCUUGAUGUGUAGGAUAGGUGGAGGCUUGAAGCGUGGACGCCAGUCUGCGUGGAGCCAACCUUGAAAUACCACCCUUUAAUGUUUGAUGUUCUAACGUUGGCCCCUGACCGGGGUUGCGGACAGUGUCUGGUGGGUAGUUUGACUGGGGCGGUCUCCUCCCAAAGCGUAACGGAGGAGCACGAAGGUUAGCUAAUCCUGGUCGGACAUCAGGAGGUUAGUGCAAUGGCAUAAGCUAGCUUGACUGCGAGCGUGACGGCGCGAGCAGGUGCGAAAGCAGGUCCAUAGUGAUCCGGUGGUUCUGAAUGGAAGGGCCAUCGCUCAACGGAUAAAAGGUACUCCGGGGAUAACAGGAGCUGAUACCGCCCAAGAGUUCAUAUCGACGGCGGUGUUUGGCACCUCGAUGUCGGCUCAUCACAUCCUGGGCUGAAGUAGGUCCCAAGGGUAUGGCUGUUCGCCAUUUAAAGUGGUACGCGAGCUGGGUUUAGAACGUCGUGAGACAGUUCGGUCCCUAUCUGCCGUGGGCGCUGGAGAAUUGAGGGGGCGCUACUAGUACGAGAGGACCGGAGUGGACGCAUCACUGGUGUUCGGGUUGUUCAUGCCAAUGGCACUGCCGGUAGCUAAAUGCGGAAGAGAUAAGUGCUGAAAGCAUCCUAAGCACGAAACUUGCCCCGAGAUGAGUUCUCCCUGAGACUUUAAGUCUCCUGAAGGAACGUUAAAGACGAUGACGUUGAUAGGCCGGGUGUGUAAGCGCAGCGAUGCGUUGAGCUAACCGGUACUAAUGACCGUGAGGCUUAACCUUACAACGCCGAAG
RNAcentral lists this ribosomal RNA (2921 nucleotides) under Klebsiella pneumoniae. Its description in RNAcentral is "23S ribosomal RNA". It matches the Rfam family "Bacterial large subunit ribosomal RNA". Lineage: Bacteria; Pseudomonadati; Pseudomonadota; Gammaproteobacteria; Enterobacterales; Enterobacteriaceae. The record is from RNAcentral.